This 41-nucleotide ribosomal RNA is filed under the name Phyllanthus acidus (Tahitian gooseberry tree). RNAcentral describes it as "partial 18S ribosomal RNA". RNAcentral also lists the same sequence under 37 other names. The record is from RNAcentral. Lineage: Eukaryota; Viridiplantae; Streptophyta; Magnoliopsida; Malpighiales; Phyllanthaceae.
UUUCCGUAGGUGAACCUGCGGAAGGAUCAUUGUCGAAACCU